RNAcentral lists this ribosomal RNA (492 nucleotides) under uncultured bacterium. Its description in RNAcentral is "partial 16S ribosomal RNA". It matches the Rfam family "Bacterial small subunit ribosomal RNA", at positions 29 to 507 of the family's 1533-position model. The record is from RNAcentral.
AGUGAACGCUGGCCGUAGGCCUAACACAUGCAAGUCGAACGGCAGCACAGUAAGAGCUUGCUCUUACGGGUGGCGAGUGGCGGACGGGUGUGGAAUACAUCGGAAUCUACUUUUUCGUGGGGGAUAACGUAGGGAAACUUACGCUAAUACCGCAUACGACCUACGGGUGAAAGCAGGGGAUCUUCGGACCUUGCGCGAUUGAAUGAGCCGAUGACGGAUUAGCUAGUUGGCGGGGUAAAGGCCCACCAAGGCGACGAUCCGUAGCUGGUCUGAGAGGAUGAUCAGCCACACUGGAACUGAGACACGGUCCAGACUCCUACGGGAGGCAGCAGUGGGGAAUAUUGGACAAUGGGCGCAAGCCUGAUCCAGCCAUACCGCGUGGGUGAAGAAGGCCUUCGGGUUGUAAAGCCCUUUUGUUGGGAAAGAAAAGCAGCAGGUUAAUACCCCGCUGUUCUGACGGUACCCAAAGAAUAAGCACCGGCUAACUUCGUG